UACGGAGGAUGCGAGCGUUAUCCGGAUUUAUUGGGUUUAAAGGGUGCGUAGGCGGACUGUCAAGUCAGCGGUAAAAUACGGGGGCUCAACCCCGUCCGGCCGUUGAAACUGGGGGCCUUGAGUGGGCGAGAAGAAGGCGGAAUGCGUGGUGUAGCGGUGAAAUGCAUAGAUAUCACGCAGAACCCCGAUUGCGAAGGCAGCUUACCAGUCUGCGACUGACGCUCAGGCACGAAAGUGUGGGUAUCGAACAGG
This 252-nucleotide ribosomal RNA is filed under the name uncultured Bacteroidales bacterium. Its description in RNAcentral is "partial 16S ribosomal RNA". It matches the Rfam family "Bacterial small subunit ribosomal RNA", at positions 524 to 776 of the family's 1533-position model. Lineage: Bacteria; Pseudomonadati; Bacteroidota; Bacteroidia; Bacteroidales. The record is from RNAcentral.